AACUCUACCCACAAAACAUAAAUAUAAUGGAACAAAAGUAAAAGAGCGAGGAAGAAACCCCAAAUUGGGGUGUAAAGCUGAAGUCACAGCAUCAAGCCUCCUAUUAUCACACAUCUAGAAGGGAAUAUGAAACAAAUAGCAAAUUUUAGAUAACCAAAUUCAAUGCUAGGAAAUAUACAAAAACUAUUCGAUUUUGUAUUGUUUUGGGGCAAACAUGACUAUACAAAAUUACAUGUUGGCUACAUGAACUGGAAACUGAGACCGGAGCAUUUUAGCUAAUUCAACACACCUGCAAAGCACCAAACAAAACCAAGCAAUAUAUUCGAAGUUGAUUGAAUUAGUUUCCGUAUCACAUUCCCCACAUAUGAUGUCAAGAAAGUACCUCAAGUUCUCUAACUAGUUCUUCCUUAAAAUCUCAAAAUCACACCAUUAAAGCAGCAAACUAUCAAAAAGAAAAAAAAAAAAAAAAAAAAAAAAUUUUGAAAACCAAUGGUACUAACAAUAAAUUAGGCCUAAGAUUUGCUAUGCUUAUCACUCGACUGGACAUUCUAUUUACAGGCCUAUAAAGCCAGGAAAUUAUCUAUUGAAACAUCUAAACAAUGGAAAGCUCCACUAUUUUGCUCUGAAAAGUAAUAGACAUCAAACAACAAUUGGAUAUCUUAGUAUGAAAACCAGAGCAAUGACAAUCACCCAAAAAGAAAGAGCUGCCUGACAAAGUUUCCUAAUUCCGAAAUUUACCAGCCAUCAACUUAUAUAUAUCUUGGUGCAGCUAAUAUUUUGUUGUCAAGGUCGAUUCAUACGUCCAGCAUUUU
Jatropha curcas is the source of this 812-nucleotide non-coding RNA. The record is from RefSeq and is a predicted model, not a curated record. NCBI's taxonomy places the organism in Eukaryota, Viridiplantae, Streptophyta, Magnoliopsida, Malpighiales, Euphorbiaceae.